CUGAGCAAGGCGCUGGGCAUGCGGAAUCAGAAGCUCUUGGCGUAUGAGAAGGAAUUCCUCGCUGUGAUGAUGGUGAUCGACAAAUGGCGCCCGUACCUCCAGUGUGCACCGUUCGAGAUUGUCACCGACCACAAGAGCCUAUGUUCCUUGGGGGAUCAGCAGCUCGUCACAGACCUGCAGCACAAGGCGAUGUCCAAGAUGGUGGGGCUGCAGUUCACAUUCCGCUACAAGAAGGGCACGGACAACGGCGCAGCCGACGCGCUCUCCCGGGUGAGGCACUUGCUGGCCCUCGACACGCUCUCGGUGUGCCAGCCCCAGUGGCUACACGAGGUGGCCAACUCUUACGAGACGGAUGCGGACGCCCAGGAACUGCUCGCCAGGCUGGCUCUCUCGACACCGACAACCAGGCCCGCACUCUGCAGCAAGGGGUGA
This 432-nucleotide ribosomal RNA is filed under the name Triticum aestivum (bread wheat). Its description in RNAcentral is "partial small subunit ribosomal RNA". Lineage: Eukaryota; Viridiplantae; Streptophyta; Magnoliopsida; Poales; Poaceae. The record is from RNAcentral.